GAAACCCACCGGGAUUGCCUCCGGAGCGGCGAAUGAAACGGCAAAAGCUCAAAUUUGAAAUUCGGCGUUUUUGGCGUUCGAGUUGUAAUUUGAAGAAGGUAUUUUUGGGCCCGGCUUUUGUUUAUGUUCCUUGGAACCGGACGUCACAGAGGGUGAGAAUUCCGUGCGGUGAGAUGACCCGGGUUUGUGUAAAGUUCCUUUGGCGGGUCGAGUUGUUUGGGAAUGCAGCUUUAAGUGGGUGGUAAAUUCCCUUUAAAGGUUAAUUUUGGCGGGGGGCCGAUAGGGGACAAGUUCCAUGAAGGAAAGGUGAAAAGAACUUUGAAAAGAGAGUGAAAAAGUACGUGAAAUUGUUGAAAGGGAAGGGCCUGAGAUCCGACUUGGUAUUUUGCCUGGUGCUUUUUUGGGGGCGGCCGGUGCGGUUUACCGGGCCAGGAUCGGUUUGGAGCGGCCGGAUAAAGGGGGAGGAAUGGGGCAAGGGUUUCGCUGUGUGUUAUAG
Molecule: ribosomal RNA, 496 nt
Filed under: Candida albicans
Lineage: Eukaryota; Fungi; Ascomycota; Pichiomycetes; Serinales; Debaryomycetaceae
Description: LSU rRNA
Rfam family: Eukaryotic large subunit ribosomal RNA
Source: RNAcentral